This is a long non-coding RNA of Felis catus (domestic cat), 1202 nucleotides long. RefSeq lists it as uncharacterized. NCBI's taxonomy places the organism in Eukaryota, Metazoa, Chordata, Mammalia, Carnivora, Felidae. The transcript has 3 exons. The record is from RefSeq and is a predicted model, not a curated record.
AUAAAUGUUAAAAAAUGUAUUGAUUUUUUGGAAUAAUCUUUUUCUGUUCUUUUCCAGAACCAUCUGAAACCCACAGUAUUUAGGAGACUGUAGGAUCUGCUUAGUGUGAGCGUUUUGAUCUCAAUUGCCCUGACUCUGUUUGAUAUGAUUGUGUCUAUGUCCGAGUAAGAUAUUUAGCUAGAAGCAUAUGGGAAGAGAAAACAUAAAGCAAAAAUGAGACUGAAUUGGAAACAUCAGAGCUCCAGUUAUGAAAACCUUAAGAAGAUUAACUGCUGUGAUGCAGCCAUCAGGAAAGAGAUCACAAAAGAGCUAUUGCCUGUACAAUCCUCUUCAUCACUUGUGACCUGGGAUAUUGAGCUCUUGGGCUGGCAGAAUUCCAGUUCAUGAGACAACCUGUGUCGUUCUGGUCUAGCUAGGAGGAAGGCAAAAUGGCGGACAAGUUAGGUGGACAGGGCAUGCUGGUUGAAAACACAGAAGAUGGUAAGAGUGUAAGAGUGUAAGAGUGUAAGAGUGUAAGUCUCCAUAGUUAGUGCAGAUCACCUUCUGGAUUGGAUUUAUGAGCUCACUUGUCUGGGAAGAAGAAUGCCUGGAGCUGAAGUGUCACAGAGGUUCUAACGAGGGUCUCUGGCCAACCUGUUCAAGUUAAAGAGGAGGAGGUCGGCCUCUCAGUCUAUAGCAAAGGAGGACAUGGACUGUGCUUUUUAUGGACACAUAAAAGGCCGAAAAAGGAGCCAUGGAAGAGAAAGUUUAAAGGUACAGGAUUUUUGUUAAAGGUACAGGUUGUUAUUUCACAUUCUGUUUGAAGCAUCUCUGAUUUUCAUUUUUUUCCCCCUAAGUGGGCUUUAUUUUUAGAGCAGUUUUAGGUUCAUGUUAAAAUCGAGCUGAAAGUACAGAGAGUUCCCAUAUACCCCUGACCCCUUACCCCAGCCUCCCUCACAGAUCAACACCCUGCACCAGAGUGGCACAUUUGUUACAAUCGAGGAGCCUACAUAGACACACCGGUAUCAUCCAAAAUCCAUAGUUUACUUUUAGGGUUCACUCUUGGUGUUGUGCAUUCUGUGGAUGGUGACAAAUGUAUAAUGACAUACAUAUAGAAAUUGUAUGACAUACAUAGACAGAAAUUGUAUGAAUCCUAUUCCUUUAAAUUCUGUUCUUUAAAUUGUUAAGGUGGGUCGCCUGGGUGGUUAGUCCGUUAAGCAUCC